Molecule: ribosomal RNA, 246 nt
Filed under: uncultured bacterium
Lineage: Bacteria
Description: partial small subunit ribosomal RNA
Rfam family: Bacterial small subunit ribosomal RNA
Source: RNAcentral
AGAAUCAACGCUGGCGGCGUGCCUAACACAUGCAAGUCGAACGAGAAAGUGGAGCAAUCCAUGAGUAAAGUGGCGACCGGGUGAGUAACACGUGACUAACCUACCUUCGAGUGGGGGAUAACCUCGGGAAACCGAGGCUAAUACCGCAUAACAUCGUGAGAUCAAAGCAGUAAUGCGCUGGAAGAGGGGUCGCGGCUGAUUAGCUAGUUGGCGGGUAAUGGCCCACCAAGGCGAAGAUCGGUAGCC